GGACUCGUAGCUCAGCUGGCUAGAGCGUUGGCUGUACUGAAGCCUUUCACUUGCUGUCGUGGGUUCGAAUCCCACAGAGGCCA
Molecule: transfer RNA, 83 nt
Filed under: Schistocephalus solidus
Lineage: Eukaryota; Metazoa; Platyhelminthes; Cestoda; Diphyllobothriidea; Diphyllobothriidae
Rfam family: tRNA
About the family: Transfer RNA (tRNA) molecules are approximately 80 nucleotides in length. Their secondary structure includes four short double-helical elements and three loops (D, anti-codon, and T loops). Further hydrogen bonds mediate the characteristic L-shaped molecular structure. tRNAs have two regions of fundamental functional importance: the anti-codon, which is responsible for specific mRNA codon recognition, and the 3' end, to which the tRNAs corresponding amino acid is attached (by aminoacyl-tRNA synthetases). tRNAs cope with the degeneracy of the genetic code in two manners: having more than one tRNA (with a specific anti-codon) for a particular amino acid; and 'wobble' base-pairing, i.e. permitting non-standard base-pairing at the 3rd anti-codon position.
Source: Rfam by way of RNAcentral